Molecule: ribosomal RNA, 254 nt
Filed under: uncultured bacterium
Lineage: Bacteria
Description: partial 16S ribosomal RNA
Rfam family: Bacterial small subunit ribosomal RNA
Source: RNAcentral
UACGUAGGGUGCGAGCGUUGUCCGGAAUUAUUGGGCGUAAAGAGCUCGUAGGCGGCGUGUCACGUCGGCCGUGAAAACCUGCAGCUUAACUGUGGGCGUGCGGUCGAUACGGGCAUGACUGGAGUUCGGCAGGGGAGACUGGAAUUCCUGGUGUAGCGGUGAAAUGCGCAGAUAUCAGGAGGAACACCGGUGGCGAAGGCGGGUCUCUGGGCAACAACUGACGCUGAGGAGCGAAAGCGUGGGGAGCGAACAGG